GUACACUCCUGCGGGAGGCAGCAGUGGGGAAUAUUGCACAAUGGGCGCAAGCCUGAUGCAGCCAUGCCGCGUGUAUGAAGAAGGCCUUCGGGUUGUAAAGUACUUUCAGCGGGGAGGAAGGCAAUACGGUUAAUAACCGUGUUGAUUGACGUUACCCGCAGAAGAAGCACCGGCUAACUCCGUGCCAGCAGCCGCGGUAAUACGGAGGGUGCAAGCGUUAAUCGGAAUUACUGGGCGUAAAGCGCACGCAGGCGGUCUGUCAAGUCGGAUGUGAAAUCCCCGGGCUCAACCUGGGAACUGCAUUCGAAACUGGCAGGCUUGAGUCUUGUAGAGGGGGGUAGAAUUCCAGGUGUAGCGGUGAAAUGCGUAGAGAUCUGGAGGAAUACCGGUGGCGAAGGCGGCCCCCUGGACAAAGACUGACGCUCAGGUGCGAAAGCGUGGGGAGCAAACAGGAUUAGAUACCCCAGUAGUCCCA
Molecule: ribosomal RNA, 475 nt
Filed under: uncultured organism
Description: partial 16S ribosomal RNA
Rfam family: Bacterial small subunit ribosomal RNA
Source: RNAcentral